AUCUAAAUAGUUUAAUAAAAAUAUUAGUUUGUGGAGCUAAAGAUAUAAAAAAUUUGUUUUAGGUA
This 65-nucleotide transfer RNA is filed under the name Rhipidocerus australasiae. Its description in RNAcentral is "tRNA-His". Lineage: Eukaryota; Metazoa; Arthropoda; Insecta; Coleoptera; Cerambycidae. The record is from RNAcentral.